RNAcentral lists this ribosomal RNA (465 nucleotides) under uncultured Klebsiella sp. Its description in RNAcentral is "bacterial SSU rRNA". It matches the Rfam family "Bacterial small subunit ribosomal RNA", at positions 338 to 795 of the family's 1533-position model. Lineage: Bacteria; Pseudomonadati; Pseudomonadota; Gammaproteobacteria; Enterobacterales; Enterobacteriaceae. The record is from RNAcentral.
CCUACGGGUGGCAGCAGUGGGGAAUAUUGCACAAUGGGCGCAAGCCUGAUGCAGCCAUGCCGCGUGUGUGAAGAAGGCCUUCGGGUUGUAAAGCACUUUCAGCGGGGAGGAAGGCGUUAAGGUUAAUAACCUUGGCGAUUGACGUUACCGGCAGAAGAAGCACCGGCUAACUCCGUGCCAGCAGCCGCGGUAAUACGGAGGGUGCAAGCGUUAAUCGGAAUUACUGGGCGUAAAGCGCACGCAGGCGGUCUGUCAAGUCGGAUGUGAAAUCCCCGGGCUCAACCUGGGAACUGCAUUCGAAACUGGCAGGCUAGAGUCUUGGAGAGGGGGGUAGAAUUCCAGGUGUAGCGGUGAAAUGCGUAGAGAUCUGGAGGAAUACCGGUGGCGAAGGCGGCCCCCUGGACAAAGACUGACGCUCAGGUGCGAAAGCGUGGGGAGCAAACAGGAUUAGAUACCCGGGUAGUC